GGUUGCGAUCAUACCAGCACUAAUGCACCGAAUCCCAUCAGAACUUCGUAGUAAAGCGUUCUUGGGCGAGAGUAGUAUUAGGAUGGUUGACCCGUGGGAAGUCCUCACGUUGCAACCCU
This 119-nucleotide ribosomal RNA is filed under the name Helianthus annuus (common sunflower). The record is from RNAcentral. Lineage: Eukaryota; Viridiplantae; Streptophyta; Magnoliopsida; Asterales; Asteraceae.